RNAcentral lists this ribosomal RNA (353 nucleotides) under Bacillus toyonensis. RNAcentral's name for it is "bacterial SSU rRNA". It matches the Rfam family "Bacterial small subunit ribosomal RNA", at positions 59 to 400 of the family's 1533-position model. The record is from RNAcentral. Lineage: Bacteria; Bacillati; Bacillota; Bacilli; Caryophanales; Bacillaceae.
AAGUCGAGCGAAUGGAUUGAGAGCUUGCUCUCAAGAAGUUAGCGGCGGACGGGUGAGUAACACGUGGGUAACCUGCCCAUAAGACUGGGAUAACUCCGGGAAACCGGGGCUAAUACCGGAUAACAUUUUGAACUGCAUGGUUCGAAAUUGAAAGGCGGCUUCGGCUGUCACUUAUGGAUGGACCCGCGUCGCAUUAGCUAGUUGGUGAGGUAACGGCUCACCAAGGCAACGAUGCGUAGCCGACCUGAGAGGGUGAUCGGCCACACUGGGACUGAGACACGGCCCAGACUCCUACGGGAGGCAGCAGUAGGGAAUCUUCCGCAAUGGACGAAAGUCUGACGGAGCAACGCCGC